This 435-nucleotide ribosomal RNA is filed under the name uncultured bacterium. Its description in RNAcentral is "bacterial SSU rRNA". It matches the Rfam family "Bacterial small subunit ribosomal RNA", at positions 28 to 480 of the family's 1533-position model. The record is from RNAcentral.
GAUGAACGCUGGCGGCGUGCCUAACACAUGCAAGUCGAACGGUCAAGACGCCUUCGGGCGUGUAUAGAGUGGCGAACGGGUGAGUAACACGUGACCAACCUACCCCCUGCUUCGGGACAGCCGCGGGAAACCGCGAUUAAUACCGAAUAUUCCGGAAACCCCGCAUGGGGCAUCCGGGAAAGUUCAGGCGGCAGGGGAUGGGGUCGCGGCCCAUCAGGUAGUCGGCGGGGUAACGGCCCACCGAGCUUACGACGGGUAGCCGGACUGAGAGGUCGAUCGGCCACAUUGGGACUGAGACACGGCCCAGACUCCUACGGGAGGCAGCAGUGGGGAAUUUUGCGCAAUGGGGGAAACCCUGACGCAGCAACGCCGCGUGCGGGAUGAAGGCCUUCGGGUCGUAAACCGCUUUCGGCGGGGAAGAAUUUGACGGUACCU